CCUACGGGGGUCAGCAGUGAGGAAUAUUGGUCAAUGGCCGGGAGGCUGAACCAGCCAAGUCGAGUGAGGGAAGACGGCCCUACGGGUUGUAAAACUCUUUUGUCAGGGAGCAAGGUGCAGGUCGGGACCGGCUGUGAGAGUAACUGAAGAAAAAGAAUCGGAUAACUCCGUGCCAGCAGCAGCGGUAAUACGGAGGAUGCGAGCGGAAUCCGGAUUUAGUGGGUUUAAAGGGUGCGCAGGCGGAGGCACAAGUCAGCGGUAAAAUCGCGGGGCACAACCCCGCUCCGCCGUUGAAAAUGUGUCCGUUGAGUGUGCGAAGGGUAGGCGGAAUGCGUGGUGUAGCGGUGAAAUGCAUAGAUAUCACGCAGACCUCCGAUCGCGAAGGCAGCCUACCGGCGCGCAACUGACGCUCAUGCACGAAAGCGUGGGUAUCGAACAGGAUUAGAUACCCUUGUAGUC
This 459-nucleotide ribosomal RNA is filed under the name uncultured bacterium. RNAcentral's name for it is "partial 16S ribosomal RNA". It matches the Rfam family "Bacterial small subunit ribosomal RNA", at positions 338 to 795 of the family's 1533-position model. The record is from RNAcentral.